This 339-nucleotide long non-coding RNA is filed under the name Bos indicus x Bos taurus (hybrid cattle). Its description in RNAcentral is "lncRNA (ENSBIXG00000001026.1)". The record is from RNAcentral. Lineage: Eukaryota; Metazoa; Chordata; Mammalia; Artiodactyla; Bovidae.
AUGCUGGAGAGGAUUAGCCAUCUGGUCUCUGUGGGGCAUCAACUCUGCAAGUCAGAUGUGAUUUCCCAGCUGGAGCAGGGAGCAGAGUUGUGGAAGGAAGAGAAAGGAUUUCCCCAGUGCCCGAGUUCAGACAGGAAAGGUGACCCUGUGAGACAAGAAGAAAUAUUCCUGCAAGAUACCUACAAGGAAGACUUAUCUAAUUGUAAAUGGUAAGUCUCAAGGGGGUGAACCCAUCCCUUUUCAUUAAAGGCAUGGAAACUGAAAGGCUUUAGAAUGCAGGACACCAUGGUUAUUUGAGGUGAACGUAAAUGCUGCUGCAGCAGAAAGUUUAGAUGGUUU